Molecule: ribosomal RNA, 225 nt
Filed under: uncultured Glomeromycotina
Lineage: Eukaryota; Fungi; Glomeromycota
Description: partial 16S ribosomal RNA
Rfam family: Eukaryotic small subunit ribosomal RNA (bases 44-225)
Source: RNAcentral
AGACCGGUUUACUGGUCGUGCCACUGGUAUGAACUGGUCUCGCUGAUCCCUCCCUCUUGACGAACUGUGAUGCCAUUAAUUUGGUGUCGCAGGGAAUCAGGACUGUUACUUUGAAAAAUUAGAGUGUUUAAAGCAGGCUUACGCUUGAAUACAUUAGCAUGGAAUAAUGAAAUAGGACGUUUGAUCCUAUUUUGUUGGUUUCUAGGAUUGACGUAAUGAUUAAUA